GACGAACGCUGGCGGCGUGCCUAAUACAUGCAAGUCGAGCGGAGUUAUUUUGAAAGCUUGCUUUCAAAAUAACUUAGCGGCGGACGGGUGAGUAACACGUAGGCAACCUGCCCUUCAGACUGGGAUAACUACCGGAAACGGUAGCUAAUACCGGAUAAUUUCUUUUUUCUCCUGAGAGAAGAAUGAAAGACGGAGCAAUCUGUCACUGAGGGAUGGGCCUGCGGCGCAUUAGCUAGUUGGUGGGGUAACGGCCCACCAAGGCGACGAUGCGUAGCCGACCUGAGAGGGUGAACGGCCACACUGGGACUGAGACACGGCCCAGACUCCUACGGGAGGCAGCAGUAGGGAAUCUUCCGCAAUGGGCGAAAGCCUGACGGAGCAACGCCGCGUGAGUGAUGAAGGUUUUCGGAUCGUAAAGCUCUGUUGCCAGGGAAGAACGUCCGGUAGAGUAACUGCUACCGGAGU
This 465-nucleotide ribosomal RNA is filed under the name Paenibacillus sp. R-41717. RNAcentral's name for it is "bacterial SSU rRNA". It matches the Rfam family "Bacterial small subunit ribosomal RNA", at positions 28 to 470 of the family's 1533-position model. Lineage: Bacteria; Bacillati; Bacillota; Bacilli; Caryophanales; Paenibacillaceae. The record is from RNAcentral.